GACGAACGCUGGCGGCGUGCUUAACACAUGCAAGUCGAACGGAGAGGCCCUGCUUUUGUGGGGUGCUCGAGUGGCGAACGGGUGAGUAACACGUGAGUAACCUGCCCUUGACUUUGGGAUAACUUCAGGAAACUGGGGCUAAUACCGGAUAGGAGCUCCUGCUGCAUGGUGGGGGUUGGAAAGUUUCGGCGGUUGGGGAUGGACUCGCGGCUUAUCAGCUUGUUGGUGGGGUAGUGGCUUACCAAGGCUUUGACGGGUAGCCGGCCUGAGAGGGUGACCGGGCCCAGAGGGGGAGAGAGACGGGCCCGAGGCCUCCGGGGGGGAGGGGGGGGGGAUAUUGCGCAAAGGGGGGGGGAGCGAGGGGGCGCCGCCGCGUGGGGGAGGUCGGGCUUUGGGGUUUAAAACCCUUUUGCCUGUGAGGAAAGGGGAGGGAGGGGAAUGGGGAAAAAAACACAGCGUAUAUCCGC
Molecule: ribosomal RNA, 467 nt
Filed under: uncultured bacterium
Lineage: Bacteria
Description: partial 16S ribosomal RNA
Rfam family: Bacterial small subunit ribosomal RNA
Source: RNAcentral